UGAAACAUUAUGUGCCUAUGGCAGUAGAUC
This 30-nucleotide non-coding RNA is filed under the name Rattus norvegicus (Norway rat). The record is from RNAcentral. Lineage: Eukaryota; Metazoa; Chordata; Mammalia; Rodentia; Muridae.